This 1527-nucleotide long non-coding RNA is filed under the name Oncorhynchus kisutch (coho salmon). RNAcentral describes it as "lncRNA (ENSOKIG00005029723.1)". Lineage: Eukaryota; Metazoa; Chordata; Actinopteri; Salmoniformes; Salmonidae. The record is from RNAcentral.
AUUUUUCAAUCACCCACGUGUUUAUAACCAAUGAGGAGAUGGCACGUGGGUACCUGCUUCUAUAAACCAAUGAGGAGGUAGGAGAGGCAGGACUUGCAGCGCGAUCUCCGUCAGAAAUAGGAAUGACUUCUACCGUUGGCGCGUGUGAGCAGUGUGGGUGCAAUAAUUGAAUAACAUGGAUUUCUACAUUUAUUUUGCGACGCUCGCGCACACGACGUGUCCGGUCUGGUCAGCAUGUAAGUGGUGAUGUCCCAUCCUUUCAGGUUGUUGGACUGAGGUAGGACUAAAUAGAUUUAAAUAGUGGAGUAGGGUGGUGUUAUUUUGAAUUUGUGAGUGUAGUGUUAGAUGGUAGAGUAUUAUUUUUUAAUUUUUUUAAGCAAAGUAUAAGGGCGUUAUACUCCAAUCUAAUAGGGGGCGGUAAUGCAACAUUUAUUGGAUGCCAACCGCCUUUAAACCUCAUCAAAGAAGAUCACAACCGUAAUGUAGCAUGGGUAAAUUGUGACUGACUGAUAUACAAAUAAUAAGGAGUAGUUAUUUCUGAUGGAAGGUGAUUUGUAGAUCAGUUAUUCGGCUGCACUGUCGCGCAAGCCCAUAUCUCCGGUUGAUGAGAUCUAGGCGUGCCGCAUUUACUCGUCUAGUCACGAUUGAGGAACCGUCGACAUAAAUUAUCUGUCUUCCGUUUCACGGACGCUGUUGAAGGUGUUUAACUAUGUCUCCAAGAGAUAUAGAACAACAGACAUUUGAUAUUAUUAGUUGCUUCUUUGAAGAGGAGCAGAACCCAGUAUGUAAUCGGAAGGUGUACCGAGACAUUGAGUCUGAUGGACCUGGCGAUGAUGACGAGUUUGACCCAGUUGUAAUAGCUGAUAAACUGAGGGAACUUGGAGAUGAUUUUGAUGUUAAGUUUAUCCAGCCUCAUAUCAGAAAACUCCAACAAGCAGUUGCAGACAAGGUGGUGGAGGAGUUUGCGCGUACUGUGGACAGCCUGUGUGCAGCCCAGAGAGCAGAGGUGGCCCCUGAGAUGCAGCUGCUGAGGGCCUCCAUGGCCCUGGGUCUGUACGUUAAGAAGACCUGUCCUGACCUUAGAGCCACCAUCCAGUCUUGUAUGACCGCCUUCAUUAACACCCGGCUGGCUGGCUGGAUCACCCAGCAGGGAGGAUGGGAUCAAGUUACUAUGGUAUAAAAACAUGGAGAAGAUGUCAUCCACAUCAUUUUUGUACAAUGAGGAAGAGGUCUUAAUGAGGAGGUCUUAACACAUAUACAGACUUGAGGAGUUAAGUCUUCUCUCUUUCUUUCUCUCCUUCUUCCCUUUUUUAUUUUCUUUCUUUCUUCUCUUCUUUCUUUCUUUCUUUCUUUCUUUCUUUCUUCUCUCCUUUCUAUCUUUCUUUCUUUCUUUCUUCUCUCCUUUCUUUCUUCUCUCCUUUCUUUCUUUCUUUCUUUCUUUCUUCCAUCUGUCUUAUGUUCCUGUCAUGGCCAUUUGAACUUGCCAGUUGUAUUCCCUGUUCACUUCCCCUAAGUUGGUUCUUUGAG